This 394-nucleotide ribosomal RNA is filed under the name uncultured Nitrospina sp. RNAcentral describes it as "bacterial SSU rRNA". It matches the Rfam family "Bacterial small subunit ribosomal RNA", at positions 29 to 410 of the family's 1533-position model. Lineage: Bacteria; Pseudomonadati; Nitrospinota; Nitrospinia; Nitrospinales; Nitrospinaceae. The record is from RNAcentral.
AACGAACGCUGGCGGCGUGCUUAACACAUGCAAGUCGAACGAGAAUUUUCCUUUCGGGGGAAAUAGUAAAGUGGCGCAAGGGUGAGUAACACGUGAAUAAUCUGCCUACGAAUUCGGGGAUAACUCGGCGAAAGCUGUGCUAAUACCGGAUAAGACCACGUCUCUUAUGUGACGUGGCCCAAAGGAGUCUCAAAACUCCGUUUGUAGAUGAGUUCACGGACCAUUAGCUUGUUGGCGGGAUAACAGCCCACCAAGGCGACGAUGGUUAGCCGGCCUGAGAGGGUGAUCGGCCACACUGGAACUGAGACACGGUCCAGACUCCUACGGGAGGCAGCAGUGGGGGAAUAUUGCGCAAUGGGCGAAAGCCUGACGCAGCAACGCCGCGUGAGGGGUG